CGUCGAAGGUGGGGCUGAUGACUGGGGUGAAGUCGUAACAAGGUAUCCGUACCGGAAGGUGCGGAUGGAUCACCUCCUAACAGGGAGACAACACAAUGAUUUUGAUGCCUGAGUGCUUUUAUUCUUAGGCCGAAAUCCUGUCACCUUAGGUCGAUCGGUACCUCAGCUUUGAAGUCAAGGAUCAGCAGUAAUGUUGAUUGCUUGAUGGAGAUUUUCAGUUCCUAAACUUUGUCUAGGUCACACCCCAAAAGGGAUGAGACUCCUGGGCCAUUAGCUCAGGUGGUUAGAGCGCACCCCUGAUAAGGGUGAGGUCCCUGGUUCAAGUCCAGGAUGGCCCAUUCGGUGUUGGGGGUUUAGCUCAGUUGGUAGAGCGCCUGCUUUGCAAGCAGGAUGUCAGGAGUUCGAGUCUCCUAACCUCCACUGACCGAACUUGAUUCCCAUCUCCAAUUUUUUGGAGUUGAGCUCGAUUGGAGUGUGAUUUAGAUGUGUCCGCUGGAUGACCCCAGCUUCCUGUCAUUCCAAGUUUUAGGUUAAAGCCUUGAAUUUGGUUGAUAAGAUGCUGGGCUCGGAUCAAAUGAUCAAGCAAUUGAUGAUUUGAUUUGAAGUUCUAGCAGAACCUUGACAACUGCAUAGGUGAGUCUGGAAAAAACAAAGCAUCUUACAGAUGCAUUGUUUUGAAUCUGAUCUUCUGAAAGGGAGAUUAGAUCUAGAACAAUGAAAAUUCUUUUGAGCAAGAGCCGAGACUCUUGAGCGUUCUUUGAUUGGUGUCGAGCCAAUCAGAGUUUGAUCUUGUUUUUAGCAAUAAAAACUUGAGAAUCUGCUUUCAACGGCGGUAAGCGUUCAGGAGGUUAAUUGGUCAAGCUACAAAGGGCUCACGGC
Molecule: unclassified non-coding RNA, 879 nt
Filed under: uncultured Synechococcus sp.
Lineage: Bacteria; Bacillati; Cyanobacteriota; Cyanophyceae; Synechococcales; Synechococcaceae
Description: partial may contain 16S ribosomal RNA, 16S-23S ribosomal RNA intergenic spacer, and 23S ribosomal RNA
Rfam family: tRNA (bases 348-420)
Source: RNAcentral